RNAcentral lists this ribosomal RNA (376 nucleotides) under uncultured organism. RNAcentral describes it as "partial 16S ribosomal RNA". It matches the Rfam family "Bacterial small subunit ribosomal RNA", at positions 527 to 897 of the family's 1533-position model. The record is from RNAcentral.
GUAGGUGGCAAGCGUUGUCCGGGAAUUAUUGGGGUGUAAAGCGCGCGCAGGCGGUUCUUUAAGUCUGAUGUGAAAGCCCACGGGCUCAACCGUGGAGGGUCAUUGGAAACUGGAGAACUUGAGUACAGAAGAGGAAAGCGGAAUUCCACGUGUAGCGGUGAAAUGCGUAGAGAUGUGGAGGAACACCAGUGGCGAAGGCGGCUUUCUGGUCUGUAACUGACGCUGAGGCGCGAAAGCGUGGGGAGCAAACAGGAUUAGAUACCCUGGUAGUCCACGCCGUAAACGAUGAGUGCUAAGUGUUAGGGGGUUUCCGCCCCUUAGUGCUGCAGCUAACGCAUUAAGCACUCCGCCUGGGGAGUACGGCCGCAAAGGCUGA